ACUUCACCAAAUCUUGUUUUUCUUAUUUCUAUAUCUUCCUCAAGGUGAGUAGGCAAGUUUUAAUGAAGGAUCCAAGUGGAAAUGAUGGCUUGAUGAUGGAGAGAGGAAGCUUAAUGCAUGGGCGGCCAUGGAGGUUUUGGUUGGGAUAUUCAUUUCGGCAAGAUGAAGUUUGAUGAAGAAGAAGAUGAUAACGAGUGGAUUUUUCUGUCCCAAGGUCCCAUAUGUCUCGCUAAUUAGGAGUUAGUGGAGCACUAAACUCAUUUUUAAUGUUUAAGUAUUCAAAGUUUCCUAAUUUGCACAUUUAUCUUAAUUCUUUCACUAUUUACAUAAUGCAUCUCAUUUUAAUUUUUCAUGACAUUUUCAAAGUGUAAUAUCAUUUAUUUUUAA
Molecule: unclassified non-coding RNA, 387 nt
Filed under: Hevea brasiliensis (rubber tree)
Lineage: Eukaryota; Viridiplantae; Streptophyta; Magnoliopsida; Malpighiales; Euphorbiaceae
Source: RNAcentral